This 403-nucleotide ribosomal RNA is filed under the name uncultured bacterium. Its description in RNAcentral is "bacterial SSU rRNA". It matches the Rfam family "Bacterial small subunit ribosomal RNA", at positions 355 to 774 of the family's 1533-position model. The record is from RNAcentral.
UAGGGAAUAUUGCAAAAUGGGCGAAAGCCCGAUGCAGCAACGCCGCGUGGGCGAUGAAGGCCUUCGGGUCGUAAAGCCCUUUUUGAGGGGAUGAGGAAGGACAGUACCCUCAGAAUAAGCCUCGGCUAACUACGUGCCAGCAGCCGCGGUAAAACGUAGGAGGCGAGCGUUAUCCGGACUUAUUGGGCGUAAAGCGCGUGCAGGCGGAUUGGAGAGUUGGAUGUGAAAGCUCCCGGCUUAACUGGGAGAGGUCGUUCAAUACUUCCAGUCUUGAGUGCAGUAGAGGGAAGUGGAAUUCCGGGUGUAGUGGUGAAAUGCGUAGAUAUCCGGAGGAACACCAGUGGCGAAAGCGGCUUCCUGGACUGUAACUGACGCUCAGACGCGAAAGCUAGGGUAGCAAACG